UGUUAGUGGUCUCAUUCUGUUGUGUACCUCGUGCCAAUUUCUUUGGAUGGUUCUCAAGUGAUGUACAUACUACUGUAGUUUUCGGGAUCAGAUAUUGGCUUCGUCCCAUCUUAAGAACUUUGUUGCAUGGUAACCUCCAGGAAUUCGGUGAUAGAAUUGGGAAAAUUAUGUCCCCAAACAGUUCCUUGGAGGAAAAAUAUCUCUGAUAUGGAUUGUGAGGGCAAAUUUCUAGAGGACGGAAGGAGUGCUGAGAGAGCCCAAGUGUUCGAUAAAUUAAGAACUAACAACAAUGCAUCACAGUCUCCAUCAUUUGCAAGGAAUCCAAUAAAGUGGGGGAAUGUGCUAUUUCCUUUAUUUUCAGGGACAGAGUCCCUGUCUCAUACCGGAAAAGGACGGCUUGCAGAGGAACUGAGUAUGGAACAUCAGAUGAAGUUGGAAGAAGCCUGACAUCGCCUGCCCUGAAGUCCUCAGUUGAAGUUCUCUUGCCUGAGGAUACCUGAAGUGAAAGGGACAGAGUCCCUGUCUCAUACCGGAAAAGGACGGCUUGCAAAGGAACUGAGUAUGGAACAUCAGAUGAAGUUGGAAGAAGGCUAACAUCGCCUGCCCUGAAGUCCUCAGUUGAAGUUCUCUUGCCUGAGGAUACCUGAAGUGAAAGGGACAGAGUCCCUGUCUCAUACCGGAAAAGGACGGCUUGCAAAGGAACUGAGUAUGGAACAUCAGAUGAAGUUGGAAGAAGGCUAACAUCGCCUGCCCUGAAGUCCUCAGUUGAAGUUCUCUUGCCUGAGGAUACCUGAAGUGAAAGGUAAGAAACACUUGACUUUCCAAAGGAACUCAAAGUGCUCAAGUGUUGAUGGAGCUCGCAGGAAUUCCCAACCAUGAAUCAUGAUCCUUUGGGAUCUGGUUCAGCCAAACUGCCUGUGGCUACUCCUGUGAUUGGAGAAUAGGCCCAUUGGUUCGUGUUAAAGGAUGUGAAUGUCUUGAAUUCUGUUCGCUCACCAAACCUGUUCUAUUUUGAGUAUACUAAGUGUCAUGGCAGGGGGUACACCAGCGUGCUUGGAUCGAUGAUGAUUUCCAAUAAAACAUUCCUUGGAAAGCUGAACAAAAUGAGUGAAAACUCAAUACCGCCAAUAUCAUCGUGACUGAGGUCCAGCACCUGGGAUCACAAAUGUCACUGAGGGACUCACAUGGCCUCCAUUCAUCUUGCGAGACUUGGAUCCAGUGAGAGAGCCUUCAGAAUGUUCUUUGCUUGCCUAAAUCACCAGAAAUCAUGGCCUAAAUCAAGGCUUCACCUUUUGCUCUAAUGAUAACAUGCUUUCCGGUUGAGGAGAUCAUUGUCAGUAUCUUGGAAGUUAGCCCUACCAACUCCAUCAGCAAUAAUGUAUAGUAGGUUGUGAGGAUAAUGUAAGUUUAGCGGGGGCAGCAUAGUUCAAAAAUGUACACUGGAAUGUCAGGAAAUGUGUUUCUGUCCGUGUCUGAAGCCUUCGCAUGAAUGAUGACACUUCUGUUUCAUAAAACAGAGAUACAUAACGGGAAGGUUACAGGCGACAUGUGGAAUGAGGCAGUAGCAAUUCUCAGGAACUAUGGGAAUGUGGACUCUUCCUGUGUGAAAACAAAGCUCUGUUUUCUUGAAAGACUGAUUGUGGCCAUGUCAAUUGGGUUGGAAAGAGAGCCUUGGAAUUUAAAAGGUUGGCAUGUAGCCUUCUUGUCCUGGAUUCUAGAAGUGCAUGCUUUCAAAUAUCCCAGGAUUCAUACCACCUUCAUGGAUGUAUGGAGAUCACCCAUUUUAAUCCUAUUUCUAUGUUUAUUGUUGGGACAUUUUUGUCAGUCUAUCCGGGUAGUUUGCCAGCAGUUCUUAUGGAUUGACUGUACCAAAAUGGUCUGGACAUACAUCUCCUCCUCUUCUAGGAUCUAAGAAUGUGAGCAUGCAAGUUUGAAUCUUACACAAACUCCUUCUAGGAAUUUUAUAUUUUGGUAAGGCCAUAGAAGAUAGGCAUGGAGUGUCUGCGGGAUUAUCUCUCCUUAUGGUCUUGAUGUGGCCUUGCUGAAGGUUAACUUGGCAUUUUGGCUUUGUGUUUUGGGGCUGAUGGUAGUCCUGUUAUCUUAGACAUUGUUCUUUUCUCCAAGCAAAUAUCAACAAGAAAUUGUGUUUCCAUUUGAUUAUGAAAGUGAGCUGCAUGCUUAGGAUCAUGCUGUUGAUAAUAACAUAUAUCUCAUUGACUACAGGUUAUGCUUGUGUUUGGUGACCUGAGAGGGUUUGAACAGACACUUUCUCUGUGGUGAUCAAUGUCAGAUACCACAGCAAUAGCACUCACAGGAAUUUAGUACCAGUCAAAACCUGAAUAGGAGAUAUAUGAGCAUGGACAGAGACAGAGAGAAAGAACAAUUGUUGAAGAGGCUAAGCAUGUGUGAGACAGAGGAAGACAGUGAGAGACAGAAAGAGAGGGGGGGGGAGAGAGGGAGUGUGAAGUGGAAAAGAGGACACUGUGAUAUCAAAGCAGAUAUCUUGAUUGACAGAUAAGGAAACCAAAUAGAGAGAAUGUGAGUGAGAAACUGAGAAGCUAGGAGAGUCACUGCAAGUCAAUUUCAGAGAGAAAGUGAAGAAGCGAGAUAGAGAAAGAGUACAUAAGAAGUCCAUUCAUCUAAUGUGGAUGAGAAUCUUAUAUGAUAUUUGAAUCGGUUCUCAUCGAAGGCAGAGUAGGACUAAUAGGUGUAGUAUGUUAUGAUUAUGGAGGGAGCUCCGAUUGUGGCCAAAGCUAUUAAGAUUCUGAUGGAUUCCAUGGGAAGAGUAAGGCCUGAUUUUCUCUGUCAUAUCCGGCUGAACUGAGAUUUACUUAUUUUUGUAGACAACUUCCAUUAAGCCAUGUUAGUGGUCUCAUUCUGUUGUGUACCUCGUGCCAAUUUCUUUGGAUGGUUCUCAAGUGAUGUACAUACUACUGUAGUUUUCGGGAUCAGAUAUUGGCUUCGUCCCAUUAAGAACUUUGUUGCAUGGUAACCUCCAGGAAUUCGGUGAUAGAAUUGGGAAAAUUUUGUCCCCAAACAGUUCCUUGGAGGAAAAAUAUCUCUGAUAUAGAUUGUGAGGGCAAAUUUCUAGAGGACGGAAGGAGUGCUGAGAGAGCCCAAGUGUUCGAUAAAUUAAGAACUAACAACAGUGCAUCACAGUCUCCAUGAUUUGCAAGGAAUCCAAUAAAGUGGGGGAAUGUGCUAUUUGCUUUAUUUUCAGGGACAGAGUCCCUGUCUCAUACCGGAAAAGGACGGCUUGCAGAGGAACUGAGUAUGGAACAUCAGAUGAAGUUGGAAGAAGCCUAACAUCGCCUGCCCUGAAGUCCUCAGUUGAAGUUCUCUUGCCUGAGGAUACCUGAAGUGAAAGGUAAGAAACACUUGACUUUCCAAAGGAACUCAAAGUGCUCAAGUGUUGAUGGAGCUCGCAGGAGUUCCCAACCAUGAAUCAUGAUCCUUUGGGAUCUGGUUCAGCCUCACUGCCUGUUGCUACUCCUGUGAUUGGAGAAUAGGCCCAUAGGUUCGUGGUAAAGGAUGUGAAUGUCUUGAAUUCUGUUCGCUCACCAAACCUGAUCUAUUUUGAGUAUACUAAGUGUCAUGGCAGGGGGUACACCAGCGUGCUUGGACCGAUGAUGAUUUCCAAUAAAACAUUCCUUGGAAAGCUGAACAAAAUGAGUGAAAACUCAAUACCGCCACUAUCAUCGUGACUGAGGUCCAGCACCUGGGAUCACAAAUGUCACUGAGAAACUCACAUGGCCUCCAUUCAUCUUGCGAGACUUGGAUCCAGUGAGAGAGCCUUCAGAAUGUUCUUUGCUUGCCUAAAUCACCAGAAAUCAUGGCCUAAAUCAAGGCUUCACCUUUUGCUCUAAUGAUAACAUGCUUUCCGGUUGAGGAGAUCAUUGUCAGUAUCUUGGAAGUUAGCCCUACCAACUCCAUCAGCAAUAAUGUAUAGUAGGUUGUGAGGAAAAUGUAAGUUUAGCGGGGACAGCAUAGUUCAAAAUGUACACUGGAAUGUCAGGAAAUGUGUUUCUGUCCGUGUCUGAAGCCUUCGCAUGAAUGAUGACACUUCUGUUUCAUAAAACAGAGAUACAUAACGGGAAGGUUACAGGCGACAUGUGGAAUGAGGCAGUAGCAAUUAUCAGGAACUAUGGGAAUGUGGAAUCUUCCUGUGUUAAAAAAAAGCUCUGUUUUCUUGAAAGACUGAUUGUGGCCAUGUCAACUGGGUUGGAAAGAGAGCCUUGGAAUUUAAAAGGUUGGCAUGUAGCCUUCUUGUCGGUGGAUUCUAGAAGUGCAUGCUUUCAAAUGUCCCAGGAUUCAUACCACCUUCAUGGAUGUAUGGAGAACACCCAUUUUAAUCCUAUUUCUAUGUUUAUUGUUGGGACAUUUUUGUCAGUCUAUCCGGGUAGUUUGCCAGCAGUUCUUAUGGAUUGACUGUACCAAAAUGGUCUGGACAUACAUCUCCUCCUCUUCUAGGAUCUAAGAAUGUGAGCAUGCAAGUUUGAAUCUUACACACACUCCUUCUAGGAAUUUUAUAUUUUGGUAAGGCCAUAGAAGAUAGGCAUGUAGUGUCUGCGGGAUUAUCUCUCCUUAUGGUCUUGAUGUGGCCUUGCUGAAGGUUAACUUGGCAUUUUGGCUAUGUGUUUUGGGGCUGAUGGUAGUCCUGUUAUCUUAGACAUUGUUCUUUUCUCCAAGCAAAUAUCAACAAGAAAGUGUGUUUCCAUUUGAUUAUGAAAGUGAGCUGUAUGGUUCAGAUCAUGCUGUUGAUAAUAACAUAUAUCUCAGUUACUACAGGUUAUGCUUGUGUUUGGUGACCUGAGAGGGUUUGAACAGACACUUUCUCUGUGGUGAUCAAUGUCAGAUACCACAGCAAUAGCACUCACAGGAAUUUAGUACCAGUCAAAACCUGAAUAGGAGAUAUAUGAGCAUGGAGAGAGACAGAGCAAGAACAAUUGUUGAAGAGGCUAAGCAUGUCUGAGACAGAGGAAGACAGUGAGAAACAGAAGAGAGAGAGGGGGGAAGAGAGGGGGUGUGAAGUGGAAAAGAGGACACUGUGAUAUUAAAGCAGAUAUCUUGAUUGACAGAAAUAAGGAAACCAAAUAGAGAGAAUGUGAGUGAGAAACUGAGAAGCUAGGAGAGUCACUGCAAGUCAAUUUCAGAGAGAAAGUGAAGAAGCGAGAUAGAGAAAGAGUACAUAAGAAGUCCAUUCAUCUAAUGUGGAUGAGAAUCUUAUAUGAUAUUUGAAUCGGUUCUCAUCGAAGGCAGAGUAGGACUAAUAGGUGUAGUAUGUUAUGAUUAUGGAGGGAGCUCCGAUUGUGACCAAAGCUAUUAAAAUUCUGAUUGUUUCCAUGGGAAGAGUAAGGCCUGAUUUUCUCUGUCAUAUCCGGCUGAACUGAGAUUUACUUAUUUUUGUAGACAACUUCCAUUAAGCCAUGUUAGUGGUCUCAUUCUGUUGUGUACCUCGUGCCAAUUUCUUUGGAUGGUUCUCAAGUGAUGUACAUACUACUGUAGUUUUCGGGAUCAGAUAUUGGCAUCGUCCCAUCUUAAGAACUUUGUUGCAUGGUAACCUCCAGGAAUUCGGUGAUAGAAUUGGGAAAAUUAUGUCCCCAAACAGUUCCUUGGAGGAAAAAUAUCUCUGAUAUGGAUUGUGAGGGCAAAUUUCUAGAAGACGGAAGGAGUGCUGAGAGAGCCCAAGUGUUCGAUAAAUUAAGAACUAACAACAAUGCAUCACAGUCUCCAUGAUUUGCAAGGAAUCCAAUAAAGUGGGGUUAUGUGCUAUUUGCUUUACUUUCAGGGACAGAGUCCCUGUCUCAUACCGGAAAAGGACGGCUUGCAGAGGAACUGAGUAUGGAACAUCAGAUGAAGUUGGAAGAAGCCUAACAUCGCCUGCCCUGAAGUCCUCAGUUGAAGCUCUCUUGCCUGAGGAUACCUGAAGUGAAAGGUAAGAAACACUUGACUUUCCAAAGGAACUCAAAGUGCUCAGGUGUUGAUGGACUCACAGGAGUUCCCAACCUUGAAUCAUGAUCCUUUGGGACCUGGUUCAGGCUCACUGCCUGUGGCUACUCCAGUGAUUGGAGAAUAGGCCCAUUGGUUCGUGGUAAAGUAUGUGAAUGUCUUGAAUUCUGUUCGCUCACCAAACCUGAUCUAUUUUGAGUAUACUAAGUGUCAUGGCAGGGGGUACACCAGCGUGCUUGGAUCGAUGAUGAUUUCCAAUAAAACAUUCCUUGGAAAGCUGAACAAAAUGAGUGAAAACUCAAUACCGCCACUAUCAUCGUGACUGAGGUCCAGCACCUGGGAUCACAAAUGUCACCGAGGGACUCACAUGGCCUCCAUUCAUCUUGCGAGGCUUGGAUCCAGUGAGAGAGCCUUCAGAAUGUUCUUUGCUUGCCUAAAUCACCAGAAAUCAUGGCCUAAAUCAAGGUUUCACCUUUUGCUCUAAUGAUAACAUGCUUUCCGGUUGAGGAGAUCAUUGUCAGUAUCUUGGAAUUUAGCCCUACCAACUCCUUCAGCAAUAAUGUAUAGUAGGUUGUGAGGAAAAUGUAAGUUUAGCGGGGGCAGCAUAGUUCAACAAUGUACACUGGAAUGUCAGGAAAUGUGUUUCUGACCGUGUCUGAAGCCUUCGCAUGAAUGAUGACACUUCUGUUUCAUAAAACAGAGAUACAUAACGGGAAGGUUACAGGCGACAUGUGGAAUGAGGCAGUAGCAAUUCUCAGGAAUUAUGGGAAUGUGGACUCUUCCUGUGUGAAAACAAAGCUCUGUUUUCUUGAAAGACUGAUUGUGGCCAUGGCAAUUAGGUUGGAAAGAGAGCCUUGGAAUUUAAAAGGUUGGCAUGUAGCCUUCUUGUCUGUGGAUUUAGAAGUGCAUGCUUUCAAAUGUCCCAGGAUUCAUACCACCUUCAUGGAUGUAUGGAGAACACCCAUUUCAAUCCUAGUUUCUAUGUUUAUUGUUGGGACAUUUUUUGUCAGUCUAUCCGGGUAGUUUGCCAGCAGUUCUUAUGGAUUGACUGUACCACAAUGGUCUGGACAUACAUCUCCUCCUCUUCUAGGAUCUAAGAAUGUGAGCAUGCAAGUUUGAAUCUUACACACACUCCUUCUAGGAAUUUUAUAUUUUGGUAUGGCCGUAGAAGAUAGGCAUGGAGUGUCUGCGGGAUAAUCUCUCCUUAUGGUCUUGAUGUGGCCUUGCUGAAGGUUAACUUGGCAUUUUGGCUAUGUGUUUUGGGGCUGAUGGUAGUCCUGUUAUCUUAGACAUUGUUCUUUUCUCCAAGCAAAUAUCAACAAGAAAUUGUGUUUCCAUUUGAUUAUGAAAGUGAGCUGUAUGGUUAGGAUCAUGCUGUUGAUAAUAGCAUAUAUCUCAGUGACUACAGGUUAUGCUUGUGUUUGGUGACCUGAGAGGGUUUGAACAGACACUUUCUCUGUGGUGAUCAAUGUCAGAUACCACAGCAAUAGCACUCACAGGAAUUUAGAACCAGUCAAAACCUGAAUAGGAGAUAUAUGAGCAUGGACAGAGACAGAGAGAAAGAACAAUUGUUGAAGAGGCUAAGCAUGUGAGAGACAGAGGAAGACAGUGAGAGACAGAAAGAGAGAGCGGGGGGAGAGAGGGAGGGUGAAGUGGAAAAGAGGACACUGUGAUAUUAAAGCAGAUAUAUUGAUUGACAGAAAUAAGGAAACCAAAUAGGGAGAAUGUGAGUGAGAAACUGAGAAGCUAGGAGAGUCACUGCAAGUCAAUUUCAGAGAGAAAGUGAAGAAGCGAGAUAGAGAAAGAGUACAUAAGAAGUCCAUUCAUCUAAUGUGGAUGAGAAUCUUAUAUGAUAUUUGAAUCGGUUCUCAUCGAAGGCAGAGUAGGACUAAUAGGUGUAGUAUGUUAUGAUUAUGGAGGGAGCUCCGAUUGUGACCAAAGCUAUUAAGAUUCUGAUUGUUUCCAUGGGAAGAGUAAGGCCUGAUUUUCUCUGUCAUAUCCGGCUGAACUGAGAUAUACUUAUUUUUGUAGACAACUUCCAUUAAGCCAUGUUAGUGGUCUCAUUCUGUUGUGUACCUCGUGCCAAUUUCUUUGGAUGGUUCUCAAGUGAUGUACAUACUACUGUAGUUUUCGGGAUCAGAUAUUGGCUCCGUCCCAUCUUAAGAACUUUGUUGCAUGGUAACCUCCAGGAAUUCGGUGAUAGAAUUGGGAAAAUUAUGUCCCCAAACAGUUCCUUGGAGGAAAAAUAUCUCUGAUAUGGAUUGUGAGGGCAAAUUUCUAGAAGACGGAAGGAGUGCUGAGAGAGCCCAAGUGUUCGAUAAAUUAAGAACUAACAACAAUGCAUCACAGUCUCCAUGAUUUGCAAGGAAUCCAAUAAAGUGGGGGUAUGUGCUAUUUGCUUUACUUUCAGGGACAGAGUCCCUGUCUCAUACCGGACAAGGACGGCUUGCAGAGGAACUGAGUAUGGAACAUCAGAUGAAGUUGGAAGAAGCCUAACAUCGCCUGCCCUGAAGUCCUCAGUUGAAGCUCUCUUGCCUGAGGAUACCUGAAGUGAAAGGUAAGAAACACUUGACUUUCCAAAGGAACUCAAAGUGCUCAGGUGUUGAUGGACUCACAGGAGUUCCCAACCUUGAAUCAUGAUCCUUUGGGACCUGGUUCAGGCUCACUGCCUGUGGCUACUCCUGUGAUUGGAGAAUAGGCCCAUUGGUUCGUGGUAAAGGAUGUGAAUGUCUUGAAUU
This is a non-coding RNA of Rattus norvegicus (Norway rat), 8687 nucleotides long. Lineage: Eukaryota; Metazoa; Chordata; Mammalia; Rodentia; Muridae. The record is from RefSeq and is a predicted model, not a curated record.